Anarrhichthys ocellatus (wolf-eel) is the source of this 448-nucleotide long non-coding RNA. RefSeq lists it as uncharacterized. The record is from RefSeq and is a predicted model, not a curated record. NCBI's taxonomy places the organism in Eukaryota, Metazoa, Chordata, Actinopteri, Perciformes, Anarhichadidae. The transcript has 3 exons.
UCUUCCCUCCGCGGCCUCAGAGAUAUCUGAAGAUGGUCCGCUACUCUCUCGACCCGGAGAACCCGACUAAAUCAUGCAAGUCGAGGGGCUCCAACCUGCGGGUUCACUUCAAGGUAAGACGUCUAAACUUUUAUAAUUAGUUAUUUGACGUCUAAAAUAUUUAUAAUUAAAGUUAUUUAACUCAAUGUUUUAUUCAGCAGCGAGAUGUAAACUGUCUCAUCAGGAACUCUUAAACUAAAUUAAAUCAAAAUACUUUGAACUCUCAGACUGACGUUAAAGUCUUACUAGUAGCUGUAUCAGUUCGUCUUGUAACAGCAGUGGUGUGUUUCAUGUUGAACAUCAGUAUUCAUUUCAUCUUAAAUGUUUUAUUCCAGGUUAAAGUAAAUAUAAAUCUAGAGGAUCGAUGAAGUUUAAAUUCAGCAGGAUCUGAUUGAGGUUAUAACCAGUA